CAAGCCUGAUCCAGCAAUGCCGCGUGCAGGAUGAAGGCCUUCGGGUUGUAAACUGCUUUUGUACGGAACGAAAAGCCUCUCUCUAAUACAGGGGGGUGAUGACGGUACCGUAAGAAUAAGCACCGGCUAACUACGUGCCAGCAGCCGCGGUAAUACGUAGGGUGCAAGCGUUAAUCGGAAUUACUGGGCGUAAAGGGCGCGUAGGCGGAUCGUUAAGUCAGAGGUGAAAUCCCAGGGCUCAACCCUGGAACUGCCUUUGAUACUGGCGAUCUUGAGUAUGAGAGAGGUAUGUGGAACUCCGAGUGUAGAGGUGAAAUUCGUAGAUAUUCGGAAGAACACCAGUGGCGAAGGCGACAUACUGGCUCAUUACUGACGCUGAGGCGCGAAAGCGUGGGGAGCAAACA
This 404-nucleotide ribosomal RNA is filed under the name uncultured Pseudomonadota bacterium. RNAcentral's name for it is "bacterial SSU rRNA". It matches the Rfam family "Bacterial small subunit ribosomal RNA", at positions 378 to 774 of the family's 1533-position model. Lineage: Bacteria; Pseudomonadati; Pseudomonadota. The record is from RNAcentral.